This is a non-coding RNA of Cyclospora cayetanensis, 72 nucleotides long. The record is from the annotation of a RefSeq genome assembly. Lineage: Eukaryota; Apicomplexa; Conoidasida; Eucoccidiorida; Eimeriidae.
GCCAUCAUAGCUUAGUGGUAGAGCAUCGGUCUUGUAAACCGAAGGUCGUGGGUUCGAUUCCCAUUGGUGGCU